AAUCAACGCUGGCGGCGUGCCUCAGACAUGCAAGUCGAACGAUUAAAGCUCUCUUCGGAGAGUGCAUAGAGUGGCGCACGGGUGAGUAACACGUAAGUAAUCUACCUUCGAGUGGGGAAUAACGUCCGGAAACGGACGCUAAUACCGCAUAAUGCAGCGGCAUCGCAAGAUGACAGUUGUUAAAGAUUUAUCGCUUGAAGAGGAGCUUGCGGCAGAUUAGCUAGUUGGUAAGGUAAUGGCUUACCAAGGCUACGAUCUGUAUCCGGUCUAAGAGGACGGUCGGACACACUGACACUGAAUAACGGGUCAGACUCCUACGGGAGGCAGCAGUCGGGAAUUUUGGGCAAUGGGCGAAAGCCUGACCCAGCAACGCCGCGUGAAGGAUGAAGUA
This 391-nucleotide ribosomal RNA is filed under the name uncultured bacterium. RNAcentral's name for it is "bacterial SSU rRNA". It matches the Rfam family "Bacterial small subunit ribosomal RNA", at positions 32 to 415 of the family's 1533-position model. The record is from RNAcentral.